Molecule: ribosomal RNA, 253 nt
Filed under: uncultured bacterium
Lineage: Bacteria
Description: partial 16S ribosomal RNA
Rfam family: Bacterial small subunit ribosomal RNA
Source: RNAcentral
GACGAACCGUGCGAACGUUGUUCGGAAUCACUGGGCUUAAAGGGCGCGUAGGCGGGCUGCCGCGUCCGGGGUGAAAUCCCACGGCUCAACCGUGGAACGGCCUCGGAUACGGGCGGCCUGGAGGGGGGUAGGGGCGUGCGGAACUGUGGGUGGAGCGGUGAAAUGCGUUGAGAUCCACAGGAACUCCGGUGGCGAAGGCGGCACGCUGGACCCCAUCUGACGCUGAGGCGCGAAAGCCAGGGGAGCGAACGGG